GGAUGUGAGGGCGAUCUGGCUGUGUCAUCUGUCACCCCAUUGAUCGCCAGGGUUGAUUCGGCUGAUCUGGCUGGCUAGGCGGGUGUCCCCUUCCUCCCUCACCGCUCCAUGUGCGUCCCUCCUGAACCUGCGUGCUCAGUCGAAGAAGACGGCCUUCCCUGAAAAGAGAUGGACCGGUCUUCGGUUGAGGGUAUACGAGUAGCUGCGCUCCCCUGCUAGAACCUCCAAACAAGCUCUUAAGAAUUAUGAUUUAAAAUGAAUUUUAUAUAAAUUUUUUGGUGUUUGGAUUAAAUAAUGUUUUUAAGUACUGAAAUAU
RNAcentral lists this small nuclear RNA (316 nucleotides) under Sorex araneus (European shrew). RNAcentral describes it as "7SK RNA (ENSSARG00000014847.1)". It matches the Rfam family "7SK RNA". Rfam says of the family: 7SK was discovered as an abundant small nuclear RNA in the mid-70s but a possible function has only recently been suggested. Two independent studies have found that 7SK RNA binds the CDK9/cyclin T complex (known as elongation factor P-TEFb). Lineage: Eukaryota; Metazoa; Chordata; Mammalia; Eulipotyphla; Soricidae. The record is from RNAcentral.